AUGACAUUAUUUCUUUCCUUUUAAUGACUAAGUAAUAGUCCAUUUUGUAUCUAUACCACAUCUUUAGUUUUAAUGACACUCAGUUCAUCUAAUUUUCCUUUUGUUGUUUAUAUUUUCGGUGUCAUAUUUUUUUAAAACUUGCCUAAUCCAAGAUUACUAAUAUUUACUCCUGUAUUUUAUACCAAGAAGCAAUGGUUUUGGCUCAUGUAUUUUGACUUUGAUACAUAUGGAAUUAAUUUUACAUAUGAUGUAAGGUAGCUAUCUUAGUCUUUUCAGGUUUCUAUAACAAAAUACCACAGACUGGGUGGUUUAUAAACAACAGAAAUCUAUUCCUCACUGUCUGGGAGGCUGGGACUCUGAGAUUCAGGUAUAAGCAGGGUUGAGUGAGGAAUGUCUUCCACAUUGCAGACUUUGUUUCUUUCCUCACAGGGCAGAAGGUAUUUGUGAGCCCUGUGGACUUUCUCUCAUAAGAGCAAUCAUCCCAUCUAUGAGGGCUCCAUCUUCAUGACCUCCUGAUCUUUCACAGGCCCCGUAUACUAACGCCAUCACUUCUGUGGAUUAGGAUUUCAACAUAUGGAUUCUGAGGAGACACAAACAUUUACGUCAUAGCAGUGGGAAUCCAGUUUUAUUCUUUAUCUGUGGCUAAUUGUUCCAGCACCACUUGUAGAAAAGACUCUUCUUUCCCCUAUCGACUUAUCUUGGCACACUUGUCAAAAGUGAAUUCAUCAGGAAGUUCCUGUGGUGGCUCAUUGGGGUUUUGAACCUGACUAGUAUCCGUAAGGAUGUGGGUUCAAUUCCUGGCUUCACUCUGUGGAUUAAGGAUUCAUCAUCGGUGGUAGCUGUGGUGUGUUGUAGGUUGCAGAUGCAGCUCAGAUGCUUACCUUAAUCCCCCAGGCUCCCUGUUUCCCUCAGCUUUCUCUUCUGCUCUCCUCUCCCCAGCACACAGGCAGGCCCCACUCAGGCAACCCACAGGCACACACAGCAUGCAAGCCCGGCCACGCCCCCCACGGCCUUCCCAGCACUACCGCUUCCCCCUCCCCCCAUUCUCUACCUUGAAUGUAACUUCAACGUGUCAACUAGAGCUAGAGUGUCCAUCCUUACCUUAAUCCUCAAGGCUCCGAGUUUCCCUCAGCUUUCUCCUCUGCUCUCCUUUCCCUGGCACACUCGCGGGCGCCAAGCAUGAAACACCCACGCAGGCACAGCAGGCAAGCCGGGCCCCGCCCCCCACGGCCCUCCCAGCACUACCACUUCCCUCUCCCUUUUUAAGACCUUGCUUCAACUCUGCAAAGGGAUCCCCUCCACCCUCUUCCAAUUCUCUACUCUGAAGCUAACUGCAACCUGGCAGCUGCAGCUCGCCCAUAUCAUCACCUUAAUCUUCCAGGCUCCCUUUUUCCCUCAGCUUUCUCUUCUUCUCUCCUCUCCCCAGCACACAGGCACGCCCCACGCAGGCAACCCCACACCCGCACUGCACGCAUCCCGGUCCCUGACCGCCAAGGCCCUCCCCGCACUCCCGCCUCACCCCCUCCCUUUCUGACAUCUUUCCUCAGCUCCUCAAGGGAUCCCCUCCACCCUCUUCCCCUCCUCUACACUCUAACUUCAACCUGGCAGCUGGAGCUAGAGUGCACAUCCUUACCUUAAUCCCAGAGUCUCCAGUUGUCCCUCAGUUUAGUCUUCUGCUCUCCUGUCCCAGCACACACGCAGGCCCCACGCACGCAUCCCCUACGCUAGCACUGCGCUCAAUCUGGUCUUCGCCCCCCUCGGUGCUCCCAAGGUUAUAGAUAUUCUGCAUACUCUAAACACUCUACUUAGUAGAUUUUAUUUUUUUCAUUUUAUAUCGAAAUUUUACAGUACUUAAAUUACAUUAGUACAGCUUAGUCAAGUGGAUGCAGGAUAAAACCAUUUAAUGUUUAAUAAUUUAAUUCCUCUUGUUUAGAAUAUUUUCACUCUUUUUACAGCAUUGACUAAAACAUUUUAAGAAAUGGUAUCACUCUGAAGAUUGAUUUAUUAGAGUAAUUAAAAUUUAGGAAAGGAUGUAAAUUGUCAAACUGAUAUUUCAGAACUUGACUGAAAAUUUGCUGAAGAAGGAACUGGACUGUCCCCAGAGUUGAAACAUAAUGAAGAAUGUGUGAGUAAGAAGAAUAUACAAGCAAGCCUUCAUCAAAAAAACCUAGAUUGUCAAGAGCUUUAGUCAAGGUUAUCUGCAUCUGAAACUUCACUCCAGAGAAUAUAGGCAGAGUUGGGUGAAAAGGGAAAAGCUACUCAAAUGCUCAAAGAAGAAUUAUCAGAAGUGGAGACCAUGUACCAGCAUCUUAAGGCAGAUGUUAAACAGCUAUAACAACAGAGAGAAGAAAAGGAGCAGCAUGGGUUACAACUUCAAAGUGAAAUUAAUCCAAUAAGAGCUGUUAUUUUUAUUUAUUUUACAUAGCAAACUUCUGGAGACAGAGCGCCAUCUAGGGGAAGCUCAUGGUAUGCUGAAAGAACAGGCAGCUUUCAAGUGGAAAGUUGAUGGAUAAAGAACAAGUGGUUGAUCUACACCUCAAACUUUCUCGUUUAGAAAAAGUUUCAGAAGGAAAAAGUAACAAAUUCCACAGAAUUGCAGCAUCAGUUAGAUAAAACAAAGCAACAGCAUCAAGAACAACAAGCUCUUCAGCAAAGCACUACGGCAAAACUUUGAGAAGCUCAGUCCAACAAAUAUGUAUUACUGUCUACUCUCAGCCAAGGAAGUGAUUUUGUGGAUAUGGCCUCAGAGACAGCAAACAAAAAUGUCUGCUCUCAUGGAGCUUAGUGAAGAAGGCAAACAAUAGCCCAGAAUGAUUGGGAAAAAGUGCUUCGUCAAUUUGGUGAUAAGGACCAAAAGAUCCAGAACCUUGAAGCCUUAUUACAGGAGAGUAAAGAAAAUAUUUCUUUCCUAGAAAAGGAAAGAGAAGAUUUUAUGCAAAAACUCAGGCUGGUGAAGGAGAGACCGCUGUUCUUAAUCAGUUGCAGGAAGAAAACCAUAUAUUACAGGAACAAGUAACUCAACUAAAGGCCCAGGAGAAUUUGCAUGACCAGGUGCAAGAGCAGAAGGCACUUCUUAGAGCUGCACAAGACUGUCCUCUCCCUAGAAGCCAGCAUCAAUGAAUUAAAUAAUCAAUUAAAUGAAAGAAAGGAGAAGGUCUCCCAGCUUGACAUACAGAUUAAAGCCAAAACUGAAUUAUUACUAUCAGCAGAAGCAGCAAAAACUGCUCAAAGAGCAGAUCUUCAAAAUCAUUUGGACACAGCUCAAAAUGCAUUACAAGAUCAACAGCAGGUAAGGGAACUUGAUACGAUUUUUUA
This is a non-coding RNA of Sus scrofa (pig), 3315 nucleotides long. Lineage: Eukaryota; Metazoa; Chordata; Mammalia; Artiodactyla; Suidae. The record is from RefSeq and is a predicted model, not a curated record.